GACGAACCGUGCGAACGUUAUUCGGAAUCACUGGCUUAAAGCGCGUGUAGGCGGGUGACCGCGUCGGUCGCUGAAAGCCCCCGGCUCAACCGGGGGAUGGGCGCCGAAACGGGUCGCCUGGAGGGCGUAGGGGACCUGGAACUUCCGGUGGAGCGGUGAAAUGCGUAGAGAGUCGGAAAGAACACCAACGGCGAAAGCACUCUGCUGGGCCGACACUGACACUGAGAGACGAAAGCUAGGGGAGCGAAUGGG
This 252-nucleotide ribosomal RNA is filed under the name uncultured bacterium. Its description in RNAcentral is "partial 16S ribosomal RNA". It matches the Rfam family "Bacterial small subunit ribosomal RNA", at positions 524 to 776 of the family's 1533-position model. The record is from RNAcentral.